GAUGAACGCUGGCGGCGUGCUUAACACAUGCAAGUCGAACGGAAAGGCCCAAGCUUGCUUGGGUCCUCGAGUGGCGAACGGGUGAGUAACACGUGGGUGAUCUGCCCUGCACUUCGGGAUAAGCCUGGGAAACUGGGUCUAAUACCGGAUAGGACCACUUCUUGGAUGUUGUGGUGGAAAGUUUUUUCGGUGUGGGAUGAGCUCGCGGCCUAUCAGCUUGUUGGUGGGGUAAUGGCCUACCAAGGCGUCGACGGGUAGCCGGCCUGAGAGGGUGUACGGCCACAUUGGGACUGAGAAACGGCCCAGACUCCUACGGGAGGCAGCAGGGGGGAAGAUUGCACAAUGGGCGCAAGGCUGAUGCAGCGACGCCGCGUGGGGGAUGACGGCCUUCGGGUUGUAAAAUCCUUUCGCUAGGGACGAAGCGUUUUGUGACGGUACCUGGAGAAGAAGCACCGGCUAACUACGUG
Molecule: ribosomal RNA, 467 nt
Filed under: uncultured bacterium
Lineage: Bacteria
Description: partial 16S ribosomal RNA
Rfam family: Bacterial small subunit ribosomal RNA
Source: RNAcentral